Long non-coding RNA from Neogale vison (American mink), 2060 nucleotides. RefSeq lists it as uncharacterized. The record is from RefSeq and is a predicted model, not a curated record. The transcript is spliced from 3 exons. Lineage: Eukaryota; Metazoa; Chordata; Mammalia; Carnivora; Mustelidae.
UGGCCUUCGGGCUUUUUUGGUGUGGGAAGUCAUUUGGGGAUGUUUCUUUCAGCUUUUCAUUUGGAUUGGAGAUGUCUUCCAUUUGGGAACCCUUUAUUUAUGAGGAGCUCCACAGCUGAACAUAGGGUUCACAGCUGAAGAGGCCGGAAGCUCUAUGCUUAGAGCACCUACAGUUCUCCUGAACCUGACCCGCCAAGCUCUUGAGUGAGGAAGGAGGCAGGAACCCAGAAAGACCGAACAUUUAAAAGUAAGCCCACGUGUUGGGCUGACUUGGGCUUGCUGUCUUGUUCUCACAGAUGGAGAUCUCCUACAGAAGCUCAUUGUGUGAAGUCGACGAAGUCGUAGCUGUUCUGAUUGAAGCAGAAGUCUCCUUCCCAGCCUGCCACCCUCAUGCACACGGGGACUUUCAGAUAACAUCUGAGCCUCAGAAGGACCUGAUGUGACACCUAUCACUCUGGAGGAUUCCUUCCUCACAUGACCACCUGCUCUAAUUUUAGGGGAUGCACCGUUUACUCCAUAUUGUAACAUCUGGAGAGACGUAUUCUGGGUGCUGUGGAUCAGUGCCAGAACCCCUCUUUCAAGUCCUGCCACAGCCAUGAAUGUAGCUGCUCCUAAGCUGGAGGAAAGCCCGUCGCCCAGCAAAGUCUAUGCCUGCGCCGUUUCCUCUCCAGAGUGACAUGUGAUAGAAGACAAUCAUGUCAGCUCCCUCGACUCAUUUGUUUGAUGAAGGGAAAGCCUAAGAAGGAAUAGGAUUGCUUCGCUCUCUCACAGUUGACCUUGAACAAUGUGGGGGUCAAGGAGGCUGACCCCUGCACAGUUGAAAAUCCAUGUAAAAUUUUGACACCCCAAAUACUGAACUGCUAAUGGCCUACUGUUGACCAGAAGCAUUACUGAUAACAUGAGCAGACAACUGACAUAUUUUGUUCAUGUAUUAUAUAUAUAUGUAUUCUUACAGCAAAGUAAGCUUGAGAGAAAAACAUGUUACAACAGGCCUAAGGAAGAGAAAAUACAUUUACAGAAUUAUAUUGUAUUUAUGGAAAAUAAUCCACUUGUAAGUGGACCCGUGGCAUUCAUGCCCAUGUUGUUGAAGGGCCAACAGCUACUGUAUGAAAGGGGUGACAGGUGUAUUUUAGAUUGCUCUAGAAGAGAGUGAUAAGACAAAGGAUCCUUAAUUGAGAUCACGUGUCCAUCAUCUACAUGCCAGGAAUGGCAGGGAAGGUGAGGAAAGCUUUUUCUCAGGUGGAAGGAAUGGACUAUAUCUUACCAAUAACUCUCAUCGUGGGAUCUGCUUCAGAAGUAGGAAGAAAGUUUGGAUGCUGUGCAGGAAAACCUGAGGGAUGGCCAGAACACCUUUUGCAAAGCUUGCAGAGUGGACAUUGUUACCCCGUCUCAUUGUUUUGGAAACAGCCUCAGAGAAGGAACUUCACUCACCAACUCCCUGAUUCUUCAAACUGUUGUUGAGAGCCUAUUACGUGCUCUCUGCCAGGUGCUGAGGCCAUGAGCAAAAUAAGUAAAAACACGUGCCUCCACACAGUGUGCACUUCUGUGGUGGGGAAGGCAGGAGACAGAGUAACUGAUCAGUAAAACAUAUACUAUCGCAGAUGGGGGUCGAUGCUCGAAAAAAAAACUUCAUCAGGGAAAGAGAGUGGGAGGGUGGUUGUAUUAUGGAGAUAUCAUUUUCAGGCAGACAGACAAGGUUGGUUUUGCUAAGACAGUGAUAUUUGAUCGAAGACCUGAAGGAGAUAAGGGAAUGAGCCCUCUGAGCCUCUGGAGAAGGGUGUCCAGGCAGGGGGAUCAGCACAGGCUACAUGCUCUGAGGUGCCAGUGUGCCUGGCAGGUCCAAGGGCCCGUCUAGAGGCUGGUGUGUUAGGAUCAGAGCAAGAGCAAGAGCAGCCAGAGGAGGGAAGGGCUGGAAUUGCUCGGGCUGGAUCAUCUGCCAGCCCCAGAGGGUUUUGGAGGCCGUAAGACAUCUGAGAAGAGGAUGGGCAGGAUCUGACUUACAUUUCUUUCAUUCUUUCUUUUUUUUUUUUUAAAGGUUUUAUUUACUUAUUUGACACAGA